UCUGCGCUGCUCCCCCAGCUGAGUGCCUCCGGCUGUAAACCCCAGAUUCUCCUGGUGGAGUCGGGAAAGGGGAGCGUCAGUGCUGAGGGAGCUUCCGUCUCCUCCCUCAGUGUUUCUGCCCCAGACAUCACCAUGGAACAUGUGGGGGUUUGUGCCUGCAGGCCGGGAUGCUGCAGGACUCCCUGGUCCAUCACCGUUAUGUCUUGGAGCUGCUCCAGUCAGUGAAUGACUUUCUGUGGCUUGGAGUACGUUUUGGUUACUGAGACCCUUGAAUUCCCAUAUGAAUUGUAGCAGCAGCUAGUCAGUUUCUGCAGAGGAGCCCGCUGGGAUUGUGAUCGAGACCACGUUGAAUAUACGGAUUGCUUUGGGGAGCACUGCCAUUCCAAGAGCUCUGUCUUCUGAUCCAGGAAUAUGCGUGGUGUGUCUGUCCAGGUGCCCUCACCUCCAGUAGCAUUCAUCCAGACACCAGCACUGACACUGGCCGUGCUCAGAACUGCCUCAGACCUGAAGACAAAACUGACAAAUAGAA
This is a long non-coding RNA of Camelus dromedarius (Arabian camel), 529 nucleotides long. RefSeq lists it as uncharacterized. NCBI's taxonomy places the organism in Eukaryota, Metazoa, Chordata, Mammalia, Artiodactyla, Camelidae. The transcript has 4 exons. The record is from RefSeq and is a predicted model, not a curated record.